This 460-nucleotide ribosomal RNA is filed under the name uncultured bacterium. RNAcentral describes it as "partial 16S ribosomal RNA". It matches the Rfam family "Bacterial small subunit ribosomal RNA", at positions 338 to 795 of the family's 1533-position model. The record is from RNAcentral.
CCUACGGGAGGCUGCAGUGAGGAAUAUUGGUCAAUGGACGAGAGUCUGAACCAGCCAAGUAGCGUGAAGGAUGACUGCCCUAUGGGUUGUAAACUUCUUUUAUAUGGGAAUAAAAUGUUCCACGUGUGGGAUUUUGUAUGUACCCUAUGAAUAAGGAUCGGCUAACUCCGUGCCAGCAGCCGCGGUAAUACGGAGGAUCCGAGCGUUAUCCGGAUUUAUUGGGUUUAAAGGGAGCGUAGGUGGAUUGUUAAGUCAGUUGUGAAAGUUUGCGGCUCAACCUUAAAAUUGCAGUUGAAACUGGCAGUCUUGAGUACAGUAGAGGUGGGCGGAAUUCGUGGUGUAGCGGUGAAAUGCUUAGAUAUCACGAAGAACUCCGAUUGCGAAGGCAGUUCACUGGACUGCAACUGACACUGAGGCUCGAAAGUGUGGGUAUCAAACAGGAUUAGAUACCCCUGUAGUC